This 72-nucleotide transfer RNA is filed under the name Heterocephalus glaber (naked mole-rat). It matches the Rfam family "tRNA". From Rfam's summary of the family: Transfer RNA (tRNA) molecules are approximately 80 nucleotides in length. The record is from Rfam by way of RNAcentral. Lineage: Eukaryota; Metazoa; Chordata; Mammalia; Rodentia; Bathyergidae.
GGAGAUAAAGUUCACUGAUAGAGCACUUGCCUAACAUGCAAAAGGCCCUGGGUUCAAUUCCCAGUACUGCCA